Molecule: ribosomal RNA, 693 nt
Filed under: uncultured bacterium
Lineage: Bacteria
Description: bacterial SSU rRNA
Rfam family: Bacterial small subunit ribosomal RNA
Source: RNAcentral
AGAGUUUGAUCAUGGCUCAGAAUGAACGUUGGCGGCGUGGAUUAGGCAUGCAAGUCGAGCGAAAAGCUUCCUUCGGGAAGUGGACAGCGGCGUAAGGGAGAGUAAUGUGUGGAUUAUCUACCCUCGGGUCCGGGAUAGCUGCGGGAAACUGCAGGUAAUACCGGAUAACAUCUUCGGAUCAAAGGUGUGAUUCCGCCUGAGGACGAGUCCACAUCCUAUUAGCUUGUUGGUGGGGUAACGGCCUACCAAGGCUACGAUGGGUACCGGGUGUGAGAGCAUGGCCCGGCUCACUGGGACUGAGACACUGCCCAGACACCUACGGGUGGCUGCAGUCGAGAAUCUUCGGCAAUGGACGAAAGUCUGACCGAGCGACGCCGCGUGCGGGAUGAAGGCCUUCGGGUUGUAAACCGCUGUCAGUUAGGAGGAAAUUCUAGGGGGUUAUCCCCUUAGUUUGACCUAUUUUCAGAGGAAGUACGGGCUAAGUUCGUGCCAGCAGCCGCGGUAAGACGAACCGUACAAACGUUAUUCGGAAUCACUGGGCUUAAAGGGUGCGUAGGCGGCCUGGUAAGUUGGGUGUGAAAUCCCUCGGCUCAACCGAGGAAUUGCGCUCAAAACUGCCAGGCUUGAGGGAGACAGAGGCAAGCGGAACUCAGGGUGGAGCGGUGAAAUGCGUUGAUAUCCUGGGGAACACCA